RNAcentral lists this long non-coding RNA (219 nucleotides) under Mytilus galloprovincialis (Mediterranean mussel). The record is from RNAcentral. Lineage: Eukaryota; Metazoa; Mollusca; Bivalvia; Mytilida; Mytilidae.
CCGUGGAUUGCGGAACAUCGUCCACAUCUAAAACGUUCACGUAAAUUAAUGACGUCAUGUGUUAAAACAGUUAUUGGCCAAUCAAAUCGGUAUAUAGAAUUUAAUCUGCACGCGCUCAGGAUGACCCUUUAACCCGAACUCCUACGUCGUUCGGGUUAAUAAGGGUCACCUGAGCUGUGCAGAUUAAAUUCUAUAUACCGACUUGCUUGGUCAAUAACU